Molecule: ribosomal RNA, 255 nt
Filed under: uncultured bacterium
Lineage: Bacteria
Description: partial 16S ribosomal RNA
Rfam family: Bacterial small subunit ribosomal RNA
Source: RNAcentral
GACGUAGGGCGCGAGCGUUGUCCGGAUUUAUUGGGCGUAAAGAGCUCGUAGGCGGCUUGUCGCGUCGUCCGUGAAAACCUGCGGCUCAACUGCAGGCUGGCGGUCGAUACGGGCAGGCUGGAGUUCGGUAGGGGGAGACUGGAAUUCCCCGGUGUAGCGGUGAAAUGCGUAGAGAUCGGGAGGAACACCAGUGGCGAAGGCGGCCUUCUGGACCAGCACUGACACUCAAGCACGAAAGCGUGGGAGGCAAACAGG